GUAGGGUGCAGGCGUUAAUCGGAAUUACUGGGCGUAAAGCGUGCGCAGGCGGUUUGCUAAGACAGGUGUGAAAUCCCCGGGCUUAACCUGGGAACUGCGCUUGUAACUGGCAAGCUAGAGUGUGGCAGAGGGGGGUGGAAUUCCACGUGUAGCAGUGAAAUGCGUAGAGAUGUGGAGGAACACCGAUGGCGAAGGCAGCCCCCUGGGCUAACACUGACGCUCAUGCACGAAAGCGUGGGGAGCAAACAGGAUUAGAUACCCUGGUAGUCCACGCCCUAAACUAUGUCGACUGGUUGUCGGGGAAGCAAUUCCUUGGUAACGAAGCUAACGCGUGAAGUUGACCGCCUGGGGAGUACGGCCGCAAGGUUA
RNAcentral lists this ribosomal RNA (369 nucleotides) under uncultured bacterium. Its description in RNAcentral is "bacterial SSU rRNA". It matches the Rfam family "Bacterial small subunit ribosomal RNA", at positions 527 to 896 of the family's 1533-position model. The record is from RNAcentral.